RNAcentral lists this ribosomal RNA (303 nucleotides) under uncultured bacterium. RNAcentral describes it as "partial 16S ribosomal RNA". It matches the Rfam family "Bacterial small subunit ribosomal RNA", at positions 507 to 807 of the family's 1533-position model. The record is from RNAcentral.
AGCAGUCGCCGCGGGAAUACGGAGGGUGCAAGCGUUAAUCGGAAUUACUGGGCGUAAAGCGCACGCAGGCGGUUUGUUAAGUCAGAUGUGAAAUCCCCGGGCUUAACCUGGGAACUGCAUUUGAAACUGUCAGGCUGGAGUCUUGUAGAGGGGGGUAGAAUUCCAGGUGUAGCGGUGAAAUGCGUAGAGAUCUGGAGGAAUACCGGUGGCGAAGGCGGCCCCCUGGACAAAGACUGACGCUCAGGUGCGAAAGCGUGGGGAGCAAACAGGAUUAGAUACCCCAGUAGUCCCUGUCUCUUAUAC